GAGGGUAUAGCUCAAAUGGUAGAGUGCAUGCUUAGCAUACACGGGUCCUGGGUUCAAUCCCUAGUACUGCCU
RNAcentral lists this transfer RNA (72 nucleotides) under Camelus bactrianus (Bactrian camel). It matches the Rfam family "tRNA". Rfam says of the family: Transfer RNA (tRNA) molecules are approximately 80 nucleotides in length. Their secondary structure includes four short double-helical elements and three loops (D, anti-codon, and T loops). RNAcentral also lists the same sequence under 2 other names. The record is from Rfam by way of RNAcentral. Lineage: Eukaryota; Metazoa; Chordata; Mammalia; Artiodactyla; Camelidae.